Molecule: long non-coding RNA, 918 nt
Filed under: Salmo salar (Atlantic salmon)
Lineage: Eukaryota; Metazoa; Chordata; Actinopteri; Salmoniformes; Salmonidae
Description: lncRNA (ENSSSAG00000120203.1)
Source: RNAcentral
CGAAGAGAGAGCAGUAGGAGUAGCAGUGUUAUCUGUGGUAAUCCAUGUUUCCGUCAGCGCCAGGAAGUCUAGGGACUGGAGGGUAGCAUAGGCUGAGAUGAACUCAGCCUUGUUGGCUGCAGCCCGGCAGUUCCAGAGGCUGCCGGAGACCUGGAACUCCACGUGGGUCGUGCGUGCUGGGACCACCAGGUGUGUAGGCAGGGCAAGGAGGACAUCGAUUCAACCCAGAAGAAGAGGAAAAAGAAGAGGCUAAAUGAGAAGGGAACCCAGGUUGAACUAGGCAUGCGGGAGGAUAUCCAUGACCUUGACCGCGCCCAUUGGAGAUUGGCUAGAGAGACAUGGAGAACUGAGCGAGGAAACAUGAGGGAGAUUAAGGCGCUGUAUGGAGAAAUAUUUAGGCUGCACCAACUCUUGGAGGAGUCCACCUGGCCGUGCUGCUGCUCCAGUUUCAACUGUUCUGCCUGCGGCUAUGGAACCCUGACCUGUUCACCGGACGUGCUUGUUGCACCCUCGACAACUACUAUGAUUAUUAUUAUUUGACCAUGCUGGUCAUUUAUGAACAUUUUAACAUUUUAACAUCUUGACCAUGUUCUGUUAUAAUAUCCACCCUGCACAGCCAGAAGAGGACUGGCCACCCCUCAUAGCCUGGUUCCUCUCUAGGUUUCUUCCUAGGUUUUUGGCCUUUCUAGGGAGUUUUUCCUAGGGAGAUUUUCCUAGCCACCGUGCUUCUUUCACAUGCUUUGUUUGCUGUUUGGGGUUUUAGGCUGGGUUUCUGUACAGCACUUUGAGAAUAUCAGCUGAUGUACGAAGGGCUAUAUAAAAAUAAAUUUGAUUUGAUUUGAUUCUGAGGAAGGUCUGCGUUUUGCACUGGUAGUAUUCUUAAGAAGGCCUGCAUUAUGCACUGGUAGUAUUCUUAAG